UUAAGGGAUAGCCUGAUCAGCGAAAAGCCGUAUCUCCAACGGUUUCCCUUAAUUUUUAUCUUGGAGA
RNAcentral lists this small RNA (67 nucleotides) under Candidatus Brocadia sinica JPN1. RNAcentral's name for it is "int-alpA RNA". It matches the Rfam family "int-alpA RNA". Rfam says of the family: Acidobacteria (1 example), Planctomycetes (1 example), Proteobacteria. Environment (Lake Washington) Lineage: Bacteria; Pseudomonadati; Planctomycetota; Candidatus Brocadiia; Candidatus Brocadiales; Candidatus Brocadiaceae. The record is from Rfam by way of RNAcentral.